This is a non-coding RNA of Delphinapterus leucas (beluga whale), 6695 nucleotides long. NCBI's taxonomy places the organism in Eukaryota, Metazoa, Chordata, Mammalia, Artiodactyla, Monodontidae. The record is from RefSeq and is a predicted model, not a curated record.
UCUCCAGGGACCCGGCGGCACCGUCGGGAUCUACAGGGCGGCGGGACCGCGAGCCGGUGAUAUCCUCCUCCCUCGGAACGGAGCUGAUGCUGCGGACUCUUCGCAACCAGAAGUGCGAGGUUCCCAUGACGAGGCCCAGCCUGUGCUGUCAGGAUUUGAGCCCUGCUUUCAGGAGCGUUAGCUCUGGCCUGAGGCUGAUUCUGCCUCAGAGAUGGACACUGACACAGACUGUCAUCUCCAGUAUGCUUGGGCUACACACGGGAGUCAGGAGAGCUUUGUGUCCAGAAUUCUACCCCAAGGGGUGGAGCCUACGGGGUACUCUCAAAUCACCUAGGAAUAAACAGUUUCAAAGAGGUUCCAUCAACAGCUAGUAAGGAGUAGUCUUUGUUCCUGGAAUCACCUCUGUUGCAGCUUAGCUUAACCAAGCUUGAAGUGUCCUCACUUUGAUCUUCCUGAUCAGGAUGUCCUUGCCAGUAACGCCUUUAAUUUCUGGGCUACUUAACUGUUCAUUCUGGUCCCUUGCUAACUCUCUUAGCCCUGCUGAUACAGGAUUGCUGGGCACUUACAUCUGUUGAUCCUUAGAUUCCAUCUAAUACUGACCGUGUGACAUCUAGUGACGAUGCACAGCCCCAAGAACCCUGAAGGGUGGGCAGAGAUAGGUAACAAGGGAAAUAUAAACACUAGAGAAGAAAAUGAACAUCUCUUCUUUUCCCACCAGAAAAACAUUACAAAAGCCUACAAGUAUUCAAAAUACUGGUGUUGAGGGUUCCUGGCAAGUGACCUCACCUUUUCAAAGAAAAGCCCCCUGACCAAGGGCUCAGGGGAACUUCCCACUCUCGCUUGGGCCUUAUUAUCUGCUUUGGUCCAACUCACUCACCUGCGGGGGCACCUGUUGAGAUUUCUCUCUCCAAAAUACAGGGCUCUUCCCCUUCCUCCAACUGGCAGAUCACAUACGGUUUGGACAUUGGAAACCCUGGUGAAAAGGAAAAGGAUCAUGACUGUGUAUGUCAGAGGUCAAGGCUUGUAGACAGCCUCCAAAGAAUAAGCAUUGUGAAGUAUCAGGAGCAGAGUCAUGAAGCUUCUUAUUCUGAGUUCAUAUGGAGUGGGACUUUUCCUAGGAACAAGGAAUAGAAAUACUGUAUCUCUGGGCGCCAAAGAGAAUGUAAAUGUCUAAUUCCAGAAUCCCAGGGCAAAAAUCAGCCAACAGGCCCAGACACCCCUAGCUUUUAAACACCAAGGAAAUAAAGAUGGCAUGAUGGGCAGGCUUUGGGCUUUGGAGGAGCUGAGCUCACCCAGGGAGGCCAGGUUCUUGAAAUUCUCUAGCAUCACUUCCCGGUACACGUCCUUCUGAGUAGGGUCCAGCUGCCCCCACUCCCACCGGGUGAAUUCCACAGCCACAUCCUCAAAUGUCAUCAGGUCCUGAAACACAGAAGACACUCUUGCACCCUCGGGAGCACACUCAUGACCCUGGGGAGGAGAGUAGACUGGUGUCUGAGUAGAACCUCAGGAUGUACGGGAAGGGAUUCCGAGAGUUCCUAGCGAUCGCAAUGCCCCUGUUCUGGGUUUUAUCAUCUCAAAAAUAUUUUAAGCUGCUCCAGGGAUUGUGUCAUCCUUACUACUUGGCAUCCCACCCAGUGCCCACAUAUGUCAACAUCAAGCUGCUUAGAAAUGUAAUCGGGGUCUCAGGAGAAUCAGGCCUACAGAGACACUCUGCUUAUAUGGGAGAGAGAAAUACAAUCCAUUUCCUCAGUUUUCCAAAGGUUUCACUCUCAAUUUAGUGACAUUUAAAUAGAAUCAAUUAGAAGUAACAAACUCAUAUACUCUGCAUUCUGAAAUGCAAUGGUUUCAGUAGUUUUCUAAUUAAGUAUUUUUGAAACUUGUGACCUAGGAUUUCAAUGACAACUGUUGCUAAGGCCAAAUAAAAUCAUUUGGGGCUUAGAAUAACUUAUCCCCAAAACAGCCUGCCAGCACGCAGUUCACUGAAAGUAUAUCAAGUGGCCUUAUAGUGAAUCAGUUAAGACUUCUGCGAGUUUGAUUAACAUAAAUCCUCUCCCCCAAAGCCUAAUCAUUUUUCAGUUCCCGAAUGUGCAAAGUUGAGAGUGAGACCCUGGAUCUCAGGUCCCCACAAGGUACAACCAUUCUGUGGGUCCCAACCAGAACUAUCCUGUCACUCUCUAUAACAGCAACACUCUCAUUUGACUUACAUUGUACAAUAAUCCAUAAACUAUGAACUAUAAAGCAGAUAAGUGAAGGUAGUACUGUUACUUUCCCCCAAAAACGUUUAAAAGUCAAAUCCCAUUUAGAUACUAAGGUUUCCAUAGAAUAAGGCAAAGUAACAAUUUUAUAUUAAGUUAAAGGCAGUCCAGAAUAAUCAAAUGUGGAAAACUCACUACUUUAGUAACCUCUUGUGAUCGAUUAUUAUAUUAUUUAUUAUAAUUAUAUUAUUAUAUUAUUUGUUCAAAAUAUUCAUUGGCCCUCCCUACAAAAUUGAUGGUCCUAACCCACUGUCUCACGUGUGGCCAAAUACUCUGCUUUCACAGAUGGAAUGUGAAGGAAGUGACAGGAGCUUCUUAAUGAGCAAAAGCCUUCAGGGUCAGUGGAGGUUCUGCAACUGCUUCUUUUUCCUCUGCUUUGAGAACAGCAAACGAUCCCAGAGUGAAGAUGUGGGGCAAAACCACAGCUUGUGUGUAAUGUGGACAAGAAAUAAACCAUUGCUGGUGUAAGUCUCUCAGGGUUUGCUGUUGUUAUCACAGCAUAACUAGCCUAAAUUGACUCAUUAAAAAAGCUGGUACUCCAAGUAGGGUUCUGCCAUGACAAAAAGCCGAAAAUACGUGACACUGUCUUCAGGGCCAGGCAGUGAGGAAACUUAUUGGCAAGAUGGCAACCCAUGUAAUUUGGUGGUGAGCUGUGGGGUAAAGCUGUUGCUGCUGUAACUUGAAAGACGAACAAUGCAAGCAUGAGCUUGUGAUGUUAUGAAAAGAGGAGGGAAACAUAAUAUCAGUAGUAUGAGUUGGUUGUCAUUGGCACUGUCAUUUGACAGUAUUACAGGAAAACAAAAAAAAAUGAGCUCAAGAGUUUGCUGAUUUGCAAAAUAAAAAUGGAAGGCCAAAGAAAGUGUCCAGAAACUCCAGGACUUGCAGGGUUGGAGAUUUAACCAAUUCUCAUUUCCAGCUGGUCAAAGACAAAAUAAAUAUGACUUUUGCAUGACAAAGGCUGAUUAAAACUCAGCCUAAUGGCAAGGACCAAAUCAUGGGUGUGAUUGUCAAACCUUUUGUUUAAACCUCUUAUUAAUUUCAGAUGGCUCCCAGUAAAUCCUUUCAGUGGGACCAAUCUGUUCAGAGUGACUAAAAGUAUGGUUUUCCCAAGGAAACCCCAAAAGCUCCACAAUUAAGUCUAAAGAGAGGGGCAUAUUUCAACAAGAACUGUGGGAAAAAGCUAUUGACACAGGGAGCUAAUGGAAGGAAGUAACACAAAAAGCUGGUCGAGUUUUUGAGAGUUACACUGAAUGUUCAUGAUUUGAAACAAUCCUUGGGCCAUCAACCUACCCAGGCAGAAUGAAAAAGCUGCUUAGCCCUCAAAAGAGUUUAUUCUCCAACAUCAUCUUCAUAUGUGACCAAGGGGGAUACUGCAAAAGGAAGGAACUUCUGGAGGGCAGAGCUAAGAGCCAGGGAGAACACUGGACUGGGGAGCUGUACCCAGGGAGCAGAGCCACUGCAUAUAACCAAAAGACUUCCCCACUCCCGAGGCCAAGGUCCUCACCAAGUCUGCCCAGUGGAAUUUUUUCUUUUAAGAGAUCUUUAUUGGAGUAUAACGGCUUCACAGUUCUGGGUUAGUUGCUGUUGCACAACAAAGCAAAUCAGCCAUAUGCAUACUCUGCCCGGUGGAAUUUCCUAACUGUUACAGACCAGGGACUGCUGGGCUCCUCCCAUGGUUCCCCUUUCUGAACAGGGGUGUUUACUGUGGUUAUCCCGCCCCAUUGUUCCACUGUAUGUGGGAUAUAUGGAUUCUUUUUUCAUAGAUCUCCAUAUCCAGAGGAGAAAUAUCCAGACCUGAUGUCCAAAAUAUCACACCAUCCAGGACUUCAGUCCUGAUGCUCUGACUGGAUGGGGCUUUUGGAUUAUAUCUCCCCUGGGGAGAGAUUUUGUGUGCAGGAGGGAGGGAAGUGAACAUCUGUGAGCAAGAGAACAGACAGUGUAAUUGUUUGUUCAGAAUGUUUACUGCCCCUCCCUCUGGGCCCCUUACUAUGAGAGGCUUAUACUUCCCACCUCACGGACAUUAGGCAUGGCCACGUGACCUGCUCUGGCCAAUGGGUUGUGAGCAGAAGCAGCACAUGCCAGUUCUCAGCAGAAGCCUGGAGAGCCGUCUCCUGAGCCUCACACUGCACCUUCCCCCAGCCACGAGAACGGCACACCCCAGAGGAGGGCAGAUCCUUCAGCCUGAAUCCCAGAGUAAAGAGGGUAUGGAUGGAGCAGAGUCACGGCGAGCCCCCUAAUGACAGCCAGAAUCCCACUAAACCACCAUCUUGGAUGCUAGGAAACGAUGCAGGCUGGCGUUCACGGCCCUCCACUUGGUUCUCCCUCCACAUCCAGCCUCCUACAGCCAAACCUGAAUCCACCUCUACAGUCAGUCACCAUUAACCCCGGCAUCCCCAUCGCAACUGAAGCUGACAAGGACUAGGCAACUCCAUGUGCCAGAAGACUCCAAGAGCUACAUGAGGUGGAUGUGUUACUGAGUGGUUGAGUCUGAAGCCAGACAACCCAGAUCUGAAACUGGCUCCCCCCCCCUUCAUUAGCUAGAUAACCAGGACCACGUUACUUUCUCUCUCUGUGCCUUGGUUUCCUCAGGUUACCUCUCUGUGCCUCAGUUGCCAUUCUUCAAAAUGGGACUGUUUUAAAGAUGAAAUUAAUUAGUAUAAAUAAAUUGUGUAGAAUAGUUCCUGAUACCUAUUUGGUUUUCAGCAAAUAAUAGCUUUUAUUAUUUUCAUCGUUAUCAUCCACAUGAUUAUCAUCCUCAUUUUACAGUUGGCAAAACCAGGGCAUUGAGAGUUUAGGUGAUUCAUCCAAGGUCACGCAGCCAGAAGCAGGGAAGUUAAGUGUGUUUCCACACUAACCCGGGAAGAUAACAUGUGCACGGGGGCCCAGCCUCAAAUGACCUCCUCACCUGUCCGAACCCUCAGAACCUCCUUGUCCCCACUUCUCCAUGCACCUUCCCCAACCUCUCCAGCACAGGCUGGUUCUCCUUUUCCCAAACUCUGAUGGAAAGGCCUGUCUAUGCCAUUCCAUCUGCCAUCAAACCACACACAUCCUUACUGUGAUUGGGGCUGCAUCCCGGGUGCGAGAGUCCUCUCCCCUCCGUGGCUGUGACAUCUCCUUCAGGGCCAGGGUGCUCUCACAUUACUUGGUACUCACCACAGUGCCCGUUACAGAAAUAAACCAAAGGAUCUGAGUGAGUGCACACUGAGCAGAGGAGAGGGCCCUGGACAAGGGGCAAGGAGGCCAGCAAAAGCCUUGAUGGGCUCGGCCUCCUGCAGAGCAGGAAUUGGGGUCAGUUCCCUUUGGCAAACCAGGAAGCUCCAGAGAAAAGGAGGCAAAACUAGCCAUAGUUCAGGCAAUUGAGGAAAAAUCAAGAGAAGCCCAACUCACCUGGGGCCUGGCUUUCAGGAAUAAGCUGGCUGUUCCCUUUUCUCCUGGGCAUCUCUCUGGAGGAAGAGCAGGGUCCUGAGAAGGGAGAACUAGGAAGGUAAAAGGAGCCAUAAGGAAGGCUAACCCUCAUGAGAUUUACAGCUCCCAGACUCCCCAAGUCAGUGUGUCGCUUCCAUGGUUCUGGGGACAAGGCUGGGCCAAAGGGAGCUGACGGACGGGCUAGAGGCUGCCCUUGUACACAGCUGCGUGAGGUCCCCACCUGUCCAUAGGCCACAGCAAGCUGUAGGUAGCUGAAGUGUGACCACAGUCUGGCCACUCUAUCGGAGAGUUAUUUACUGGGCCUCCAAUAAUGCAGGUCAUUUACUAGGCCUUUUGAAAAUAUAAACGUGAAUAAGAACUUCAAGGAAUUUUAAUGUAACCUGAGGAUAUAAGACAGGUUAACAAUACAAAACAAGGCCUAGGAUGAGGCCACAUAGGGAUAUAGGACUUUGGGGAAGAAGUUACACCUCUCCCCUUAUCCCUGGGAAGCAAUGCAGAGGCCAGCUCUUCCUGAGAAGCUGUCCUCUAUGUUCUUAAGCACCGUUAGGUCUCUAGAGUGUAUUUUGAGAGCCCCUCUAUUAUAGGCCUUUGUAUCAUACUCUUUUUAAAGUCUUCAAACAAAAAACUAACCCCAACCAUGCCAGAGAAGUGGCUACGGCCACCACCAACAAACGCAGGGAGGUAGGCAGGCAGCGUGGUAUAGCACAGGUCAGCACUUUUCAAACUUUAAUGUGCAUAUGCAUUCCUGAGGAUCUUGCUAAACAGACUGGGUCAGGGGAUGUGGGGUAGGGCGUGAGAGUCUGCAUUUCUAGAGAGCUUGCAGGGGAAGCCUGUGCUGCUGGUCUACAGACCACAAAGCAUAUAGGAAAAAAGAGGGGGUGAGAGUCCCAGAGAUUUAGCCCAGUUCUGUCAUUGGCCAGUUUUAUGACCCUGAGCAUGUGCACUGAAGAACUAAAAUGCCCACCCGGGACUUCCCUGGUGGCGCAGUGGUUAAGAACCCACCUGGCAAUGCAG